This 67-nucleotide transfer RNA is filed under the name Staphylinidae sp. BMNH 1274661. Its description in RNAcentral is "tRNA-Ile". Lineage: Eukaryota; Metazoa; Arthropoda; Insecta; Coleoptera; Staphylinidae. The record is from RNAcentral.
AGCAGAAUGCCUGAGUAAAGGGUUAUUUUGAUAGAAUAAAUCACGUAAAAAAAAUUACUUCUGCUAU